RNAcentral lists this long non-coding RNA (3278 nucleotides) under Lactuca sativa (garden lettuce). Its description in RNAcentral is "long non-coding RNA (LSAT_LNC009153)". Lineage: Eukaryota; Viridiplantae; Streptophyta; Magnoliopsida; Asterales; Asteraceae. The record is from RNAcentral.
GAAAACAAACACUAUCUAUCUCGUUUUCUUUAAGCCAAUGGAGAAAGUUCAUACAUCACAUUCACUGAUCUUGCUUCUUACCCUUCUCAUUGCUUCCUUCAUUCUCACAACCUCAAUAACCAAUCCCAAUCACCAAACAUCAAAUUUCAAGAAUCAAAAUGCAAAACGUGUCAAAAAAGGCGAGGUUCGUGUUCAUGCAAAAGGUGAAAAAGAUCAAGCAAGGAUUCCGUAUCCAGCUUAUGCUUCUGCUGAUGGUUUUCAGGAGAUGGAAGAAGGUGAGAAAGAUGAUGAGAAGAUGGUUCAUGGCCUAAAUGGGGAUCUCUAUUACGAUGGGCCCCCACAAGGUUACUUUGGGUACCCCUUUCCAGGUGGCAUCUUUGGAUUCCCUCGUGGUAUUUUCGGGUUCCCUCGUGGCUUUUUUGGGUAUCCACUAGGUUUCAGAGGGGGGUUGCUUCCAGGUGGUUAUGGUGGAUUUCCAGGAGGUUAUGGCGGUUAUCCAUAUCCAGGAAGCUAUGGUGGAUAUCCAGGUGGCGAUGGCGGAAAUCCAGGCGGUUAUGGCGGUGGAGGGCCAGGUAACAAACCUGGUGGUGGUGGUGGUGGUGCUGGUGGUCAUGGAAGUGGUGGAGGGUACCCUGGUUAUGGAGGUCAAGCUAAGGAGGUGAAGGGCAAAAGAGUCAAUCCAUAUAAUUGAGUUCUUCUGUUAUAUAUUAUUAGAUUAAAUUAAUAAUACCAGCUCCUAGUUUUAUAAAUUAGAGAAGAUUUCGGUUUUCUUGUGUUGUUGAAGAGUUCUGUUUCAGGUUCUAGUGAGGUUUGUGCUAGUUUAACUGCUAUGGUUGACUUGUAUCUUGUGCAGUGAAAAUGAAGAAAUAGUUUGAAUUUAUAAAAUAUUAAUAAAAAGUUUUUGGUUUUGACAAAGUUUCGCAAUGUAAAUCAUGUAUACCAUUUUGAGUGCAAUUAGGCCGUACUUUUUUUAAUUGAGUAGUACUUUAUUAAACAGUGUUUAUGUUUAUAAAUAUUUGUAGAAAUGAUAAUUACAUGUACAAAGAAAUGGAAGAGAGAAUAAAUGAAGGAGAAGCGAAUCAACGGUGGCAAUAGUUGCAUCAAACUUACAAGAAUGAAGUUCAUAUAGUGAUUUGGAAAAUCUUUGAAGAUGAGAUAGGUUCUUUUUAACUUGUAUAUAUAUUUUAUAGUUUAUCUCAAUCUCCUAGGGUGUUUGUUAGUUAGCUUUUUUUUUUUUUUUUUUUUUUUAAAACUUAACUUAAACUCAUUAUUAUAUUAGAUGUAUGGAGAAUAAAUGAGGGACAAUCACAAUUUAAUCGAUUAUUAUCUAUGCGGUUUAUCUUUCACCCUAAGAAAGACUUUGUUGUGAUCUAGACCUAUCACAAUCCUAAACACCCGAGUCCCCCUUCUAGCAUUCAUGCCUCGUCUUUCAUAUUCAUCUAUAAUUAUAUUUCAGAUUUCUGAUAGCUCUAUCUUUUUGAUUUGGAUAAUGUAUCUAUCUUUACUGAUAUUAGGAGAUGGCGGGCCUACAUUUACAUUUCCAUUAGUUUUCCUAUUAAAAAAAAAUAAAACAUAAUAAAGUCUACAUGCGAAUGCGAUCUUUGGUCACGCAAUUGGAUGGGGUAGACAGAAGUUGAUCUCAUAGAUGAUGAUUUUCAUUAACAAAAUAUCAUUUUUACUUGGAUUAUGUAACAGAUCUUUUCUUAUUCCCCUCCCAUGUAUGUAUAUCAUUUAAUUAUACCGAAUAAUUUUUUUAUUUACAAAUUAAGCAUUAUAAAACUUGUUAAAGCUCAAAAUUCUUAAAUAAAAGUAUAAUAAGCAUAAAAUAUAAUAGAUAUUUUUUAGAAAAAAAAUAGAAAUUUAAUAAAAAAAAACGUGAUUUUUUAAAGCAUUUAUACCAUUCAUUAGUAGUCACAUAAAUAAAAAUAAGUUGUACUGCAAACUAUUAAUAAAUUUCAAUUUUGCAUUAGAAAUCGACAACUACACAAUUUAAUUUCAACAAAUACUUUUCACACGAUAUAAUCUAAAAACAGAACAUUUUUACAAAUGCCUCAUUCAUUAGGUUUGCCAAAUUGAGAAAAAUUUCCUCAUGACUUGUAGACAUACAUACAAUUUGGUGUCAUUAAUAUCCGAUAACUACACUCCAAUCAGAGAAAAAAAUCCCAUGCAGAGACGCACUUUAUGAGACCCUGUAAUUAGUAAACCAAAUGAAUUCGAUCAACAAAUCUGGUUGCUUAGUUGUACAUCAAAUACUGUGUGUCUUUGUGUGUGUAUUACUAUGUGUAUUCAGUAUUGUCUCCUCAAAAUGCACUAUAAAAAGACAGGCUCGGAAAACAUAAUUUGUCACUGAAAAGAAAACAGACACUAUCUAUCGUUUUCUUUAAGCCAAUGGAGAAAGUUCAUACAUCACUUCUCUUGCUUCUUAUCCUUCUCAUUGCUUCUUUCAUUCUCACAACCUCAACCAAUCCCCAAACACCAAAUUUCAAGAAUCAAAAUGCAAAAAGUGUCAAAAAAGGCAAGGUUCAUGUUCAUGCAAAAGGUGAAAAAGAUCAAGCAAGGAUUCCAUAUCCUUACGCUUUUGCCGAUGGUUUUCAGGAGAUGGAAGAAGGUGAGAAAGAUGAUGAGAAGAUGGUUCAUGGUCUAAAUGGGGCUCUCGAUUACAGCGGGCCCCCACAAGGUUACUUUGGGUACCCCUUUCCAGGUGGCAUUUUCGGGUUCCCUCGUGGCCUUUUUGGGUUUCCACUAGGUUUCAGAGGGGGGUUGUUUCCAGGUGGUGGUUAUGGUGGAUUUCCAGGAGGUUAUGGUGGUUAUCCUUAUCCAGGUGGUUAUGAUGGAAAUCCAGGCGGUUAUGGCGGUGGAGGGCCAGGUAACAAACCUGGUGGUGAUGGUGGUGCUGGCGGUCGUGGAGGUGGUGGAGGAUACCCUGGUUAUGGAGGUCAAGCUGAGGAGGUGAAGAAGGGCAAAAGAGUCAAUCCACAUGAUUGAAUCCUAGUCUUAUUAUUGGGUCAAAUGAAUAAAAUCAGCUCCUAUUGUGUUUUAGAAGAGUUUGUCUAGUGAGGUUUGUUCUAGUUUGGCUGCUAUGGUGACUUGUACCUUGUGCAGUGAAGUUAUAACAUGAAUAAAUAAACAGAGGUUAUGUUAUGUAAAGUCAGUGAUUUUAUAAUUUUGGAUAAUUCAACUCACAAUAUUCCAUAUCAUUUUGUUAUGAUCAUAUAUCAUAAUACAAUAUAUAUAUAUAUAUAUAUAAUAUAUAAUAACCAAAAACUGAUAAAAACACA